UACAGAGGUCUCAAGCGUUGUUCGGAUUCAUUGGGCGUAAAGGGUGCGUAGGCGGCGCGGUAAGUCGGGUGUGAAAUCUCGGAGCUUAACUCCGAAACUGCAUUCGAUACUGCUGUGCUUGAGGACUGGAGAGGAGACUGGAAUUUACGGUGUAGCGGUGAAAUGUGUGGAGAUCGGGAGGAACACCGGUGGCGAAGGCGGGUCUCUGGGCAAUUCCUGACGCUGAGGCGCGAAAGCGUGGGGAGCAAACGGG
RNAcentral lists this ribosomal RNA (253 nucleotides) under uncultured bacterium. Its description in RNAcentral is "partial 16S ribosomal RNA". It matches the Rfam family "Bacterial small subunit ribosomal RNA", at positions 524 to 776 of the family's 1533-position model. The record is from RNAcentral.